Molecule: transfer RNA, 68 nt
Filed under: Mustela putorius furo (domestic ferret)
Lineage: Eukaryota; Metazoa; Chordata; Mammalia; Carnivora; Mustelidae
Rfam family: tRNA
About the family: Transfer RNA (tRNA) molecules are approximately 80 nucleotides in length.
Source: Rfam by way of RNAcentral
ACUCAGUUGGUAUAGCUUACAUGUGACUCUUGAUCUCAGAGUUGUGAGUUCAAACCCCACACUGGGUG